ACUGUCGUUCCCCAUCGUCGACUCACUCUUCUCACCUCGGCCCGACUAACGACACAAGAAACUGAGCCACAACUCAGCUAAAGCCGAUGCCGACGUCGACAGCGGCCAGUACUCUCAAUGCAGACAACGACACAAGAAAUUGAGCCACAAGUCAGCUAAAACUCAGCCAAGACUCUCUGUUCCCGAUCGGUGCCCUCAAAGCAAACAACAAAGCAAGAAACCCAACCACAAGACUGUAAUUCGAUUGUGUUAUGCUGAGCUCUGUUUUUUGUAAAAAUUCUAGGGUUAUUUAAAAAAUUAAUGAUAAAAAGUAGGGUGCAGAAAUCAAACUCACCUCCUUGCUUUGUUGAUGUAGUGGAUUUGUGUAGUGUGAUUUUUUGUUGGAUUAUGAUCAGAUUAUCCACUUUCACCGGGCAAAGAUUGACAGGAAAUCUCGUUCUGUUUUUGGUGCGAAACUGUAAACAUAGAAAGUAAAAAGUGAAAGUGAAGAAGAAAAAUCUGCAGA
Molecule: long non-coding RNA, 505 nt
Filed under: Salvia miltiorrhiza (redroot sage)
Lineage: Eukaryota; Viridiplantae; Streptophyta; Magnoliopsida; Lamiales; Lamiaceae
Description: long non-coding RNA (SMIL_LNC002580)
Source: RNAcentral